CCUACGGGAGGCAGCAGUGGGGAAUCUUGCACAAUGGGGGAAACCCUGAUGCAGCAACGCCGCGUGGGUGAGGAAGUAUUUCGGUAUGUAAAGCUCUAUCAUCAGGGAAUAAAGAAGAAGGUACCUUAAAAACAAGCCCCGACUAACUACGUGCAAGCAGCCGCGGUAAUACGUAGGGGGCCAGCGUUAUCCGGAUUUACUGGGUGUAAAGGGAUCGUAGACGGAAAGGCAAGUCAGAAGUGAAAGCCCAAGGCUCAACCAUGGGACUGCAUUUGAAACUGUCAAACUAGAGUCCGGGAGAGGUAAGAGGAAUUCCUAGUGUAGCGGUGAAAUGCGUAGAUAUUAGGAGGAACACCAGUGGCGAAGGCGUCUUACUGGACCGAAACUGACGUUGAGGCUCGAAAGCGUGGGGAGCAAACAGGAUUAGAUACCCCGGUAGUC
This 441-nucleotide ribosomal RNA is filed under the name uncultured bacterium. RNAcentral's name for it is "partial 16S ribosomal RNA". It matches the Rfam family "Bacterial small subunit ribosomal RNA", at positions 338 to 795 of the family's 1533-position model. The record is from RNAcentral.